GGAUAGAGGCGCGAAAACGAUGAGUUACCCGAUUUCGGUCCGUCAAGACCGCGGGGAAAGGCGUUUUCGCCGAAAUGAAGCGUGGGUUGACGCCCGUGCUUUGUUGGGGGUAUGCAGAAGAUGUAUGCCACUGUCGCAUUUGCGGAGAGCUAUC
RNAcentral lists this non-coding RNA (154 nucleotides) under human gut metagenome. RNAcentral's name for it is "Lysine riboswitch". It matches the Rfam family "Lysine riboswitch aptamer". Rfam says of the family: Riboswitches are metabolite binding domains within certain messenger RNAs that serve as precision sensors for their corresponding targets. The record is from RNAcentral.